AAUUUCUUCCAGGAGAAACUCAGAAUUUGUCCAGUUGGAAUGUACAGAGUUUGGCAAAUUCCAUAUUUGCAUCAUAGCAGUAAAAGGAAUCUCUGCUUCUUUUGAAUGUCACAUUUCCUGCUUUGCCUCUGCUGCUAUACAAGACUUUCUGGGUUAUAAAUUUGCAUCACUCCUCUGUUCAAGCACACCAGCUCCACCAGAAUCAUUCAGAUGAAUCUACAGCCUUCUAAGCUCAGGAAUCAGAUCCUGUCUCAGCUCCUGUUCAAGAACCUCGCUGUCAGAAGUCUGCAAGUGCUGCCAUGAGGUGCUGCAAGGCAACAAACUGAUGAGACAGCUGCAAAGAGACCCUGAGCAGUGGUGGAAUGAAACUGGGAGAGCAGGGAUUCAUCCAUCCAAAGAACCAGGAGGUUUUUAUCACUGCAGACAGUGCUGAUCCUCAGGUCCACAAAAGAAAAGUUAAGGAAUGGAGAUAACCUGUGUGUGGCAGGAUGCAAAAGCUCUCUAGGGGUAGGACAUAAAAUAAUAAAUGAGUUGAUGAUAAGAGGUAAAGAGAUCAGAGUGUGACAGAAUGUGUUCUGCAGCUACUGAAGUGUGUUGGACAAAAUGAGGGCUCUCUGCUAUUUGUGCAUCUUGUAAAAAUGUCCUGUAUUUUUAGCAUUUUGUGGAAUGAAAGUUUUAUGUGCUAUUAAAUGCUGCUGGCAAAUGACUGAGACCAGCAAACUUAAACACACCUCAAUUUUCCCUACUUUGGUACUCCUUGCUGUUACUUAGUAACAUCAGAGAGAUUUUACUAUAAACUUUUCUUUUGCCUAUGAAAAAACAUUCACUCUGCCACUUCCUCAGUCUGUAUUUAUGCCAAACAGCACAUUUGGUAAAGGAAGGGAAAGUGGUCCAGUUCUCUGCCUGACAGGCCAAAGAGAAAUGCUUUUAACAGCUAUA
Molecule: long non-coding RNA, 939 nt
Organism: Parus major (Great Tit)
Lineage: Eukaryota; Metazoa; Chordata; Aves; Passeriformes; Paridae
Exons: 3
Source: RefSeq, a predicted model, not a curated record